Molecule: unclassified non-coding RNA, 302 nt
Filed under: Hevea brasiliensis (rubber tree)
Lineage: Eukaryota; Viridiplantae; Streptophyta; Magnoliopsida; Malpighiales; Euphorbiaceae
Source: RNAcentral
GUCAAAUUAAAUUCCUCCCCAAAUUUUUGUAAAUUAUUUAUCCAAUUUCUAAGGCAUUUAUAAUUAUAUUUUUCCACAUUGGAGUGUUACAGCUUUCACCCUCAAAACCUUAUCUCUCCCUCUCUUUUCUUUCCAAUUGUGUGUUUUUGAUUCCCAUCAACAUCAAUUAAAAAUGUUCUCUUAUUCAUAGAAUUUUACAGAAUUUUUCAAAUUUCAAUUAAAUUACCUAAUUUAUUAUGUGUUUAUUUGUGUAAAAAAAAUCGAAUUCAAUUUCAUAUAAUAUAUUAUAAGAAUUUUGAAUU